AUUCUUAUUGCUCUCUACUAGUUUCAAUAACAAACAACAUGCUGAUUUUAACAAGUCCAUCACUAAUUUUACAUGUAAUAGCAAUAUAAAAUCAAUUAAAAUAAUUAUUCUUACACUUGUAGUUGCGUUCCUGAAUUGAGCAACUUUCAAUAUCUAUUUAACUACAUUACAUAAUACAAUGCACUCAUGUCCUGAAUCAUAUUAAAGUCCUGACAUAAAAAAAAACUUUCUACAUGAGCAAAUCAAUCUACAAUAGCUUCAACAUUCUUGAUAAAAUAAUUUUCUAGCUUUGAGGUUUACAAAUUUGGCCAAUUAAUGGCCAGAUCCAUGAACGUCCGCCAUAUUUGUUGCAAUAAAGGCUUUUUCUCGUUAUGACUUACCACAGAGAAUCACCCAAACAAAAUAUUAGAAAUAUGUCAGAUCGUGAAUUCAUGCUUAGUCAAAUUAUGAGCUAAGAUAACCAUUAACAGAGAAAAACUCGUGAUUUCACAAUGAUUUAACAGAGACCUGCUCAAAAGCAAUGACAACAGAUACAUUCAAAAGGAACUUCAUAAGCUCAUAUCGACAUUUGAUUUAAUAAUGACCUUACAUUAAGAUGAAUAAGCAAUUGAUAGCAAACCAACCGAGUUAAUGAGUCGACAUAGCUUAAACAUUCUGCCUAAACUAAUCAACAUAAUCACAUGAUCAUUAGGAGCAACAAAGAUAGAUUAAAACUAAAAGUACCAAUAUCAAAAACCACAGGAAGAAAUCAUCAUUCAUCAAAAAUCUAACAAGUUUCAAUUUACCACAAGCUAUGUGACAACUAGAAGCAUACUUCAAAUUCUGAUAUCAAUUUAACAAACAAACAUACCAAACAAACUAAUCAUAAAGCAUCACGUGAAAAAAGCAACAUAUCUAUAGUUCAUAGAAGAAAAAAUGGAGAAGUUUGAUAAUGAAAAUCCAAAACCAUACAGAUUUCUAGGUGUGUACCCGAGCUUACAAUAAACUGAAACUUUUGCCAACUAAAAGCUAAGAAAGAACUCGACACCAAAUGAAUUCAGCAAGAUCAAACAGCAGCAAAAUAGAUGAAAGAGUCUCAACUCUUAGCUUGAGGGAACUUUUAAAGUGUUUUCCUUUAAAGUAAUCAGUGUAAGAUCAGCAAGAAUGAAGAAGGAAAAAUGGAGUUUUUUCCCCGAAUAUCAGUGUAUAUCCGUGAAUGUCUAUGAGUGAGUGUAUAAGGUCUCUUAUAUAGAGUAUUAGUGUGCUUUGUAUGAGGGAAAAAAAGGGAAUCAAGGAAUGUCAGCUGGAAAUUAGAGGGGGGGGGGGGAGAGGGCAUCUUUUAAUAACCAAUUUAUACAAUUGUCCUAUUUUUAGAUGUUUUAUCCAAUUUUCAACAUCUUUUAUUAACAACUUGGGACAAUUGUCCAUUUUUCCAGCAUGCUCUUUUCUAGAAUCAUCUAAAACAUUCUCCUAAAUUCUUUUUUUAAUUAACCCUACUAAAUUCCAUAUACUUACAAAAACAAGGUUAUUAAGACAAUAUCAAAUUAAAUAACACAAUCAGUGAUGUACAAUAAUUUUAACAAACAAAAUAUCCUAACAUCUAAUUAGAACCCCAAAGUUGAUUAACUAGCAAUUUGCAAUUAAACUAUUUAACAUGCAUUUAAGAAAUCUGAACACACAAAUGAAUAAACCUAGAUGUUGAACUAAUCUAAUUAGGCUGAUUUUAUCAUUCAAAAUGGCAAUUUCAAAUAAAACUUAGAGGACUGUUUUGUUUUUUUUUGUUUUUUUUAUUAUUUAAAAACAAAGAAAAAAAAAUGAAACCAAAAAAUGAGAUAAAACAAAAUGAGGAGAUACCUAAUGAAAAAAAGAACGGUUCAGUUUGAAGCAAAUUCUACGAGAUUGGCCGAAUUCCGAUGUUUUUGAUACAAACUAAAAUUAACGUCAAUCGAUUUUUCUCGUGAGAACAAUUGAUUAACGUGAUUUUCAGUUUUAAUUGAACCUUGAAACUUCUAAAAACUUGAAAAGGGCAAAACUAGGGUUCUGAAGUUUUUAGAUCUGGAAUUGGGUGAGUUCAGGUGGGUUUGGAGGCUAAGGCUAAGAGAUUAAGAGUGAGGGAAAGGUGGGGAUUGUCUGGUAAAAAUUUGGGGUUAUUUGGAGUGGUGCCGCCGGUGGAGCAACCGGAUUUGGGAGUAGAGGCGGCUAGGGUUUAGGGCUUGAGAGAGAUGAGAAGGAAAUGAGUUAAGGUUUUUGGGGUUUGGGGGGAGGGGGUUGUUUCGACAGAUAUAAGGGAUUGGGA
Molecule: long non-coding RNA, 2275 nt
Filed under: Nicotiana tabacum (common tobacco)
Lineage: Eukaryota; Viridiplantae; Streptophyta; Magnoliopsida; Solanales; Solanaceae
Description: long non-coding RNA (NTAB_LNC019074)
Source: RNAcentral